Long non-coding RNA from Lutra lutra (Eurasian river otter), 129 nucleotides. RefSeq lists it as uncharacterized. The record is from RefSeq and is a predicted model, not a curated record. NCBI's taxonomy places the organism in Eukaryota, Metazoa, Chordata, Mammalia, Carnivora, Mustelidae. The transcript has 3 exons.
UACCCACCACCUGUGUAUAUAACAGACCACUCCUCACAUCCCCAGGGCAAGAGCUCUUCCUGCCCACUGGGUCCUGUCCCCGGGCUUUAAUAAACCACCAUUUUGCACCAAUGAUGUCUCAAGAACUCU